Molecule: transfer RNA, 58 nt
Filed under: Acinetobacter baumannii
Lineage: Bacteria; Pseudomonadati; Pseudomonadota; Gammaproteobacteria; Moraxellales; Moraxellaceae
Description: tRNA-Asp
Rfam family: tRNA
About the family: Transfer RNA (tRNA) molecules are approximately 80 nucleotides in length. Their secondary structure includes four short double-helical elements and three loops (D, anti-codon, and T loops).
Source: RNAcentral
GUAGUUCAGUUGGUUAGAAUACCGGCCUGUCACGCCGGGGGUCGCGGGUUCGAGCCCC